This 91-nucleotide transfer RNA is filed under the name Aeromonas phage phiA8-29. Its description in RNAcentral is "tRNA-Ser". It matches the Rfam family "tRNA". From Rfam's summary of the family: Transfer RNA (tRNA) molecules are approximately 80 nucleotides in length. Their secondary structure includes four short double-helical elements and three loops (D, anti-codon, and T loops). Lineage: Duplodnaviria; Heunggongvirae; Uroviricota; Caudoviricetes; Pantevenvirales; Ackermannviridae. The record is from RNAcentral.
UGGAAGGUUGGCAGAGCUGGCUUAUUGCACCGGUCUUGAAAACCGACGAGGAGAGAUCCUCCCAGGGUUCGAAUCCCUGACCUUCCGCCAA